RNAcentral lists this ribosomal RNA (797 nucleotides) under uncultured Pelagibacteraceae bacterium. RNAcentral describes it as "bacterial SSU rRNA". It matches the Rfam family "Bacterial small subunit ribosomal RNA", at positions 44 to 889 of the family's 1533-position model. The record is from RNAcentral. Lineage: Bacteria; Pseudomonadati; Pseudomonadota; Alphaproteobacteria; Candidatus Pelagibacterales; Candidatus Pelagibacteraceae.
ACGCCUUAUACAUGCAAGUCGAACGAAGUAGCAAUACUUAGUGGCAGACGGGUGAGUAACAUGUGGGUAUCUUCCCUUUGGUGAGGAAUAACACGAGGAAACUUGUGCUAAUACCUCAUAAGUCUUUACGGAGAAAGCUUUAUGCGCCAAUGGAUGAGCCCGCACUUGAUUAGUUAGUUGGUAGGGUAAUGGCCUACCAAGACUUUGAUCAAUAGCUGAUUUGAGAGGAUGAUCAGCCACAUUGGGACUGAGACACGGCCCAAACUUCUACGGGAGGCAGCAGUAGGGAAUCUUGCACAAUGGAGGAAACUCUGAUGCAGCGAUGCCGCGUGAGUGAAGAAGGCCUUUGGGUUGUAAAGCUCUUUCGUCGGGGAAGAAAAUGACUGUACCCGAAUAAGAAGGUCCGGCUAACUUCGUGCCAGCAGCCGCGGUAAUACGAAGGGACCUAGCGUAGUUCGGAAUUACUGGGCUUAAAGAGUUCGUAGGUGGUUAAAAAAGUUGGUGGUGAAAUCCCAGAGCUUAACUCUGGAACUGCCAUCAAAACUUUUUAGCUAGAGUAUGAUAGAGGAAAGCAGAAUUUCUAGUGUAGAGGUGAAAUUCGUAGAUAUUAGAAAGAAUACCAAUUGCGAAGGCAGCUUUCUGGAUCAUUACUGACACUGAGGAACGAAAGCAUGGGUAGCGAAGAGGAUUAGAUACCCUCGUAGUCCAUGCCGUAAACGAUGUGUGUUAGACGUUGGAAAUUUAUUUUCAGUGUCGCAGUGAAAGCGAUAAACACACCGCCUGGGGAGUACGACCGC